UGGGGAAUAUUGCACAAUGGAGGGAACUCUGAUGCAGCGACGCCGCGUGAACGAAGAAGGCUUUCGCGUCGUAAAGUUCUUUUAUAUGGGAAGAUAAUGACGGUACCAUAAGAAAAAGCCCCGGCUAACUACGUGCCAGCCGCCGCUGUAAUACGUAGGGGGCUAGCGUUGUCCGGAAUCACUGGGCGUAAAGGGUUCGCAGGCGGAAAUGCAAGUCAGGUGUAAAAGGCAGUAGCUUAACUACUGUAAGCAUUUGAAACUGCAUAUCUUGAGAAGAGUAGAGGUAAGUGGAAUUGUUAGUGUAGCGGUGAAAUGCGUAGAUAUUAAAAAGAAUACCGGUGGCGAAGGCGACUUACUGGGCUCAUUCUGACGCUGAGGAACGAAAGCGUGGGUAGCAAACAGG
Molecule: ribosomal RNA, 403 nt
Filed under: bacterium
Lineage: Bacteria
Description: partial 16S ribosomal RNA
Rfam family: Bacterial small subunit ribosomal RNA
Source: RNAcentral